Molecule: ribosomal RNA, 394 nt
Filed under: Carpophthoromyia dimidiata
Lineage: Eukaryota; Metazoa; Arthropoda; Insecta; Diptera; Tephritidae
Description: partial 12S ribosomal RNA
Source: RNAcentral
CUUAUCUUAUUAAUAAGAGUGACGGGCGAUGUGUGCAUAUUUUAGAGCUAAAAUCAAAUUUAUAAUCUUUUAAAUAUUACUAUCAAAUCCACCUUCAUUAAAAUAUUUAAAAUUAAAUUCAUUUAAAUAAUUUUAUUGUAACUCAUCUCUACUUAAAUAUAAGCUACACCUUGAUCUGAUAUAAAUUUUAAUUUAAAUUAUUGAAAAUUAUUAUUCUAAUAAAAUAUUCUAAUAACGACGGUAUAUAAACUGAAAACAAUUCUAAGUAAGGUACAUCGGGGACUAUCGAUUACAGGACAAGUUCCUCUGAAUAGACUAAAAUACCGCCAAAUUUUUUAAGUUUCAAGAACAUAACUAAUACUACCUAAGCGCUUUAAUUACAUUUUAAAUAAUA